This 1266-nucleotide ribosomal RNA is filed under the name Staphylococcus pseudintermedius. RNAcentral describes it as "bacterial SSU rRNA". It matches the Rfam family "Bacterial small subunit ribosomal RNA", at positions 1 to 1248 of the family's 1533-position model. Lineage: Bacteria; Bacillati; Bacillota; Bacilli; Caryophanales; Staphylococcaceae. The record is from RNAcentral.
UUUAUGGAGAGUUUGAUCCUGGCUCAGGAUGAACGCUGGCGGCGUGCCUAAUACAUGCAAGUCGAGCGAACAGAUAAGGAGCUUGCUCCUUUGACGUUAGCGGCGGACGGGUGAGUAACACGUGGGUAACCUACCUAUAAGACUGGAAUAACUCCGGGAAACCGGGGCUAAUGCCGGAUAACAUGUUGAACCGCAUGGUUCUACAGUGAAAGACGGUCUUGCUGUCACUUAUAGAUGGACCCGCGCCGUAUUAGCUAGUUGGUGGGGUAACGGCCUACCAAGGCGACGAUACGUAGCCGACCUGAGAGGGUGAUCGGCCACACUGGAACUGAGACACGGUCCAGACUCCUACGGGAGGCAGCAGUAGGGAAUCUUCCGCAAUGGGCGAAAGCCUGACGGAGCAACGCCGCGUGAGUGAUGAAGGUCUUCGGAUCGUAAAGCUCUGUUGUUAGGGAAGAACAAAUGUGUAAGUAACUGUGCACAUCUUGACGGUACCUAACCAGAAAGCCACGGCUAACUACGUGCCAGCAGCCGCGGUAAUACGUAGGUGGCAAGCGUUAUCCGGAAUUAUUGGGCGUAAAGCGCGCGUAGGCGGUUUUUUAAGUCUGAUGUGAAAGCCCACGGCUCAACCGUGGAGGGUCAUUGGAAACUGGAAAACUUGAGUGCAGAAGAGGAAAGUGGAAUUCCAUGUGUAGCGGUGAAAUGCGCAGAGAUAUGGAGGAACACCAGUGGCGAAGGCGGCUUUCUGGUCUGCAACUGACGCUGAUGUGCGAAAGCGUGGGGAUCAAACAGGAUUAGAUACCCUGGUAGUCCACGCCGUAAACGAUGAGUGCUAAGUGUUAGGGGGUUUCCGCCCCUUAGUGCUGCAGCUAACGCAUUAAGCACUCCGCCUGGGGAGUACGGUCGCAAGACUGAAACUCAAAGGAAUUGACGGGGACCCGCACAAGCGGUGGAGCAUGUGGUUUAAUUCGAAGCAACGCGAAGAACCUUACCAAAUCUUGACAUCCUUUGACCGCUCUAGAGAUAGAGUUUUCCUCUUCGGAGGACAAAGUGACAGGUGGUGCAUGGUUGUCGUCAGCUCGUGUCGUGAGAUGUUGGGUUAAGUCCCGCAACGAGCGCAACCCUUGAACUUAGUUGCCAUCAUUCAGUUGGGCACUCUAAGUUGACUGCCGGUGACAAACCGGAGGAAGGUGGGGAUGACGUCAAAUCAUCAUGCCCCUUAUGAUUUGGGCUACACACGUGCUACAAUGGACAAUACAAAGGGCA